RNAcentral lists this long non-coding RNA (1066 nucleotides) under Prunus persica (peach). RNAcentral describes it as "long non-coding RNA (PPER_LNC007573)". The record is from RNAcentral. Lineage: Eukaryota; Viridiplantae; Streptophyta; Magnoliopsida; Rosales; Rosaceae.
UCAUAUUCUUCAACACAUAUAUCAUGUCCUUUCUUCUCCGAAUUGUUCAACAAAAAACAGGAUGUUAUGAGCUGCAUGCAAUAUCUUCUAACAUUAUAGUUAUUCUUUCUACUAUCUGUAAAUCCUCCCUCCGCCAUGCUUUCGGUUUGUGGUCCUUCUUGGGGCUUUUCUGUUUGGCCUUUUCAUGCUUCCUAGCAGCCGUUUUCUUCUUCCUAGCAGCUUUUCUCACCUUGGCUUCUUUCUGCGAAACCCAAUAAUAUUACGAGAAACUAAAUUUAAAGGCUAAUAAAAAUACUUAUAGACAUGCAAAUAAUUGAGUAUCUUGAUUCGUGAUCAUUAAAUAAUUAAAAAAUUUCAUGUUAACACAUCUCUUUCACCUUUGCCAAGCUCACUACAUGUCAACUCCCACAUCAGCAAAUUCUCAUCCAGAGUUGUUUUGGUUUCCUACUCAUGCAGAGUGGUUUCAUCUUCUUGUUUUGGUUGCUUCAUGUUAGAUGCACCUAUCCUCUUCUAUGGGUUCAUAAUACUCACAUUAAUUAAGACUCAUUAUCAUUAGAAAACUAUAUUUAUAAGGGUCUUGACACAAACAAAAUGCAACAAAAUUCAAAGUAAAAAUUGAUGUUAUUGAUGAAAACACAAAAAAUGUAAAGAAAACUUACGAGCUGAAGCCGAACUUAGGCUAAUCAUGAAUGCUCAAUUUUCUUAGUUAAUAUAAAUUUCAAGUUUUUCCCUUUUUAUUGAAUUUGUUUUACUGUACUUAAUAUUUAAUUUGAUUUUAAAGGCCUAAUCACUAUCUAAGUUGAAUUAGAUUAAUGCAAUGCAAGUUAGAGUAGAUGCCAUACUUAACUUGAGUUUUGAAUUCACUUCUGCAGUCUUCAACCAACCAUUCACCCUAAGUCUGCAACCACAUUAAAUAACAACCAUUCACCUUAUGAUUAUGCUCGCAGAAGUAUUCUGAUAACAGUUUAUUAUAGGGAGAGAGAGAGAGAGAGAGAGAGAGGGGCUUCUGCUGGGUAUUAUGUGGAUGAACAUACGUCAAAUAAUCACAUUAGGCACCUAUCCAAAG